AGAGUUUGAACCUGGCUCAGGAUGAACGCUGGCGGCGUGCUUAACACAUGCAAGUCGAACGAUGAUCCCAGCUUGCUGGGGGAUUAGUGGCGAACGGGUGAGUAACACGUGAGUAACCUGCCCUUAACUCUGGGAUAAGCCUGGGAAACUGGGUCUAAUACCGGAUAUGACUCCUCAUCGCAUGGUGGGGGGUGGAAAGCUUUAUUGUGGUUUUGGAUGGACUCGCGGCCUAUCAGCUUGUUGGUGAGGUAAUGGCUCACCAAGGCGACGACGGGUAGCCGGCCUGAGAGGGUGACCGGCCACACUGGGACUGAGACACGGCCCAGACUCCUACGGGAGGCAGCAGUGGGGAAUAUUGCACAAUGGGCGCAAGCCUGAUGCAGCGACGCCGCGUGAGGGAUGACGGCCUUCGGGUUGUAAACCUCUUUUAUGGGAGAAGAAGUUCUGACGGUAUCCCAUGAAUAAGCCACGGCUAACUACGUGCCAGCAGCCGCGGUAAUACGUAGGUGGCGAGCGUUGUCCGGAUUUACUGGGCGUAAAGGGCUUGUAGGCGGUCCGUUAAGUCCGAUGUGAAAUCUCCCGGCUCAACUGGGAGAGGUCAUUGGAUACUGGCGGACUAGAGGGGGGUAGAGGAAAGCAGAAUUCCUGGUGUAGCGGUGGAAUGCGUAGA
Molecule: ribosomal RNA, 670 nt
Filed under: uncultured bacterium
Lineage: Bacteria
Description: bacterial SSU rRNA
Rfam family: Bacterial small subunit ribosomal RNA
Source: RNAcentral